Molecule: ribosomal RNA, 502 nt
Filed under: uncultured Glomeromycotina
Lineage: Eukaryota; Fungi; Glomeromycota
Description: partial small subunit ribosomal RNA
Rfam family: Eukaryotic small subunit ribosomal RNA
Source: RNAcentral
CCAAUAGCGUAUAUUAAAGUUGUUGCAGUUAAAAAGCUCGUAGUUGAAUUUCGGAAUUUUUUUAUUGGUUGAACCAACAGGUUCGUACUGAUUUUAAGAAUUUCUACCUUCUGGAGAACCUUAAUGUCAUUUAUUUGAUGUUUUGGGAAACCAGGACUGUUACCUUGAAAAAAUUAGAGUGUUUAAAGCAGGCUUAUGUCUGAAUAUAUUAGCAUGGAAUAAUGAAAUAGGACGGCAUGGUUCUAUUUUGUUGGUUUCUAGGAUCACCGUAAUGAUUAAUAGGGAUAGUUGGGGGCAUUAGUAUUCAAUUGUCAGAGGUGAAAUUCUUGGAUUUAUUGAAGACUAACUUCUGCGAAAGCAUUUGCCAAGGAUGUUUUCAUUAAUCAAGAACGAAAGUUAGGGGAUCGAAGACGAUCAGAUACCGUCGUAGUCUUAACCAUAAACUAUGCCGACUAGGAAUCGGACGAAGUUAAUUUUUUAAUGACUCGUUCGGCGCCUUACG